GGGCGAUUAGCUCAGAUGGUUAGAGCGCGUCACUGAUAAUGACGAGGUCCGUGGUUCGACUCCACGAUCGCCCACCA
This 77-nucleotide transfer RNA is filed under the name Candidatus Buchananbacteria bacterium. Its description in RNAcentral is "tRNA-Ile". It matches the Rfam family "tRNA". Rfam says of the family: Transfer RNA (tRNA) molecules are approximately 80 nucleotides in length. Their secondary structure includes four short double-helical elements and three loops (D, anti-codon, and T loops). Lineage: Bacteria; Candidatus Buchananiibacteriota. The record is from RNAcentral.